AGUGAACGCUGGCGGUAGGCCUAACACAUGCAAGUCGAACGGCAGCACAGUAAGAGCUUGCUCUUACGGGUGGUGAGUGGCGGACGGGUGAGGAAUACAUCGGAAUCUACUUUUUCGUGGGGGAUAACGUAGGGAAACUUACGCUAAUACCGCAUACGACCUACGGGUGAAAGCAGGGGAUCUUCGGACCUUGCGCGAUUGAAUGAGCCGAUGUCGGAUUAGCUAGUUGGCGGGGUAAAGGCCCACCAAGGCGACGAUCCGUAGCUGGUCUGAGAGGAUGAUCAGCCACACGAGAACUGAGACACGGUCCAGACUCCUACGGGAGGCAGCAGUGGGGAAUAUUGGACAAUGGGCGCAAGCCUGAUCCAGCCAUACCGCGUGGGUGAAGAAGGCCUUCGGGUUGUAAAGCCCUUUUGUUGGGAAAGAAAAGCAGCAGGUUAAUACCCCGCUGUUCUGACGGUACCCAAAGAAUAAGCACCGGCUAACUUCGUG
This 492-nucleotide ribosomal RNA is filed under the name uncultured bacterium. Its description in RNAcentral is "partial 16S ribosomal RNA". It matches the Rfam family "Bacterial small subunit ribosomal RNA", at positions 29 to 507 of the family's 1533-position model. The record is from RNAcentral.